RNAcentral lists this long non-coding RNA (216 nucleotides) under Homo sapiens (human). RNAcentral's name for it is "LHRI_LNC1755.1". Lineage: Eukaryota; Metazoa; Chordata; Mammalia; Primates; Hominidae. The record is from RNAcentral.
AGUGGAACACAUGCUGUCACUCACAUAUGCUGGUUGCUGACUUGUGACGGAAGAUUCUCUAUUGUACCCUCUGGGGACAAUACAUCUCCAGUUGCCUGCGGGGAGGAUGAACAUGCAAAAAAUCCACAACACUCAGCACAGAGUCUGGAUUUAGUCCCAUUAGUCUGAAUGGGACUAAUGCCCUUAUAAAAGGGACCUCGGGGAGCUCUCUCGCCC